GACGAACGCUGGCGGCGUGCUUAACACAUGCAAGUCGAACGGAAAGGCCCUGCUUUUGUGGGGUGCUCGAGUGGCGAACGGGUGAGUAACACGUGAGUAACCUGCCCUUGACUUUGGGAUAACUUCAGGAAACUGGGGCUAAUACCGGAUAGGAGCUCCUGCUGCAUGGUGGGGGUUGGAAAGUUUCGGCGGUUGGGGAUGGACUCGCGGCUGAUCAGCUUGUUGGUGGGGUAGUGGCUUAGCAAGGCGUUGACGGGUAGCCGGUAGGAGAGGAUGAGCAGCCACACUGGAGCUGAGACACGGUCCAGACUCCUAAGGGAGGAAGCAGUGGGGAAUAUUGGACAAUGGGCGAAAGCGUGAUCCAGCCAUGCCGGGUGUGUGAAGAAGGUCUUCGGAUUGGAAAGGAAUUUAAGUUGGGAGGAAGGGCAGUAAGUUAAUACCUUGCUGUUUUGACGUUACCAACAGAAUAAGCACCGGCUAACUUCGUG
Molecule: ribosomal RNA, 488 nt
Filed under: uncultured bacterium
Lineage: Bacteria
Description: partial 16S ribosomal RNA
Rfam family: Bacterial small subunit ribosomal RNA
Source: RNAcentral